Molecule: long non-coding RNA, 353 nt
Organism: Schistocerca cancellata (South American locust)
Lineage: Eukaryota; Metazoa; Arthropoda; Insecta; Orthoptera; Acrididae
Exons: 3
Source: RefSeq, a predicted model, not a curated record
UACGUUUUUUCUUCCAUUGGCUUUAAUUUUGUAUUAAAGAAACAACUGUGAAAAUAUUAAUAGUGUAAUUAAUAUGUACCUGAACUACAUUUCAGUCACUCAGUAAAGUGACAACUCAAAAUAUCAUUGUCAACAGAUCUGAAGAAAUUGCCACUGCGUCUUUAGACCGUUUUCGUCAGACGAGAGACACAGUUCUGACUCUGAUUACUGGUUGCUGUACGUAUCUAUCCACAUCAAGGCUGUUUUUGAGAGAGACUCGUGAAGAUUCAAGACAGCUCUUAGAGGAUUUGCAGUUUAAAAGUGAAAUAAUUGUGAAAUAAGAGUGUGAAUGAUUAACCUGUGUUUUAUUGAAG